This 226-nucleotide long non-coding RNA is filed under the name Carica papaya (papaya). RNAcentral describes it as "long non-coding RNA (CPAP_LNC010933)". Lineage: Eukaryota; Viridiplantae; Streptophyta; Magnoliopsida; Brassicales; Caricaceae. The record is from RNAcentral.
CGUUAAAGUCACAACCAUCAAGCUAAAACACACAGCAUACCUAACAAAAGAGAAAAUCAAAUAAAUCAUUAAAUGCUCAGAUUUUCGUGUCAUGCUUCGCGAAGUCGUUAUGACUUCCAUCUCUGAGGGCAGAUACAGAUUUCAGACAACCCAUGUGGAAUGACUAGAUUAGAUAUAAAUAAUGACAAUUCGCUUACGCACAUUUCUAGCUUGCCAAACCAUGAUA